GAUGAACGCUAGCUACAGGCUUAACACAUGCAAGUCGAGGGGUAACGAGAGGGAAGCUUGCUUUCCUUGUCGACGACCGGCGCACGGGUGAGUAACGCGUAUCCAACCUGCCCCCAACUAGGGAAUAACCUUGCGAAAGUAAGACUAAUACCCUAUAAUUUCCUCAGAUGUCAUCUGACGAGGAAUAAAGAUUUAUCGGUUGUGGAUGGGGAUGCGUCUGAUGAGCUUGUUGGCGGGGUAACGGCCCACCAAGGCAACGAUCAGUAGGGGUUCUGAGAGGAAGGUCCCCCACAUUGGAACUGAGACACGGUCCAAACUCCUACGGGAGGCAGCAGUGAGGAAUAUUGGUCAAUGGGCGUAAGCCUGAACCAGCCAAGUAGCGUGCAGGAUGACGGCCCUAUGGGUUGUAAACUGCUUUUAUAAAGGAAUAAAGUUAGCCACGUGUGGUUAUUUGUAGGUACUGUAUGAAUAAGGACCGGCUAAUUCCGUGCCAGCAGCCGCCGUAA
Molecule: ribosomal RNA, 506 nt
Filed under: uncultured bacterium
Lineage: Bacteria
Description: partial 16S ribosomal RNA
Rfam family: Bacterial small subunit ribosomal RNA
Source: RNAcentral